Molecule: ribosomal RNA, 497 nt
Filed under: uncultured bacterium
Lineage: Bacteria
Description: partial 16S ribosomal RNA
Rfam family: Bacterial small subunit ribosomal RNA
Source: RNAcentral
GAUGAACGCUGGCGGCGUGCCUAAUACAUGCAAGUCGAGCGAACAGACGAGGAGCUUGCUCCUCUGACGUUAGCGGCGGACGGGUGAGUAACACGUGGAUAACCUACCUAUAAGACUGGGAUAACUUCGGGAAACCGGAGCUAAUACCGGAUAAUAUAUUGAACCGCAUGGUUCAAUAGUGAAAGACGGUUUUGCUGUCACUUAUAGAUGGAUCCGCGCCGCAUUAGCUAGUUGGUAAGGUAACGGCUUACCAAGGCAACGAUGCGUAGCCGACCGGAGAGAGUGAUCGGCCACACUGGAACUGAGACAGGGGCCAGACUCCUGCGGGAGGCAGCAGUAGGGAAUCGUCCGCAAUGGGCGAAAGCCUGACGGAGCAACGCCGCGUGAGUGAUGAAGGUGUUCGGAUCGUAAAACUCUGUUAUUAGGGAAGAACAAAUGUGUAAGUAACUAUGCCCGUCGUGACGGUACCUAAUCAGAAAGCCACGGCUAACUACGUG